This 305-nucleotide ribosomal RNA is filed under the name uncultured bacterium. RNAcentral's name for it is "bacterial SSU rRNA". It matches the Rfam family "Bacterial small subunit ribosomal RNA", at positions 333 to 636 of the family's 1533-position model. The record is from RNAcentral.
UUAGUCCUACGGGAGGCAGCAGUGAGGAAUAUUGGUCAAUGGGCGCGAGCCUGAACCAGCCAAGUCGCGUGAGGGAAGACGGUCCUAUGGAUUGUAAACCUCUUUUGUCGGGGAGCAAAGGACGCCACGCGUGGCGUUCCGAGAGUACCCGAAGAAAAAGCAUCGGCUAACUCCGUGCCAGCAGCCGCGGUAAUACGGAGGAUGCGAGCGUUAUCCGGAUUUAUUGGGUUUAAAGGGUGCGCAGGCGGAAGAUCAAGUCAGCGGUAAAAUUGAGAGGCUCAACCUCUUCGAGCCGUUGAAACUGG